RNAcentral lists this transfer RNA (73 nucleotides) under Desmophyllum pertusum. RNAcentral describes it as "Lophelia pertusa tRNA". It matches the Rfam family "tRNA". From Rfam's summary of the family: Transfer RNA (tRNA) molecules are approximately 80 nucleotides in length. Their secondary structure includes four short double-helical elements and three loops (D, anti-codon, and T loops). Lineage: Eukaryota; Metazoa; Cnidaria; Anthozoa; Scleractinia; Caryophylliidae. The record is from Rfam by way of RNAcentral.
CUCUCCGUAGCUCAGUGGUUAGAGCAUCCGGCCGGUAUAUGGAAGGUCAUGGGUUCGAAUCCCGUUAGGGACU